Non-coding RNA from Caerostris darwini, 99 nucleotides. Lineage: Eukaryota; Metazoa; Arthropoda; Arachnida; Araneae; Araneidae. The record is from the annotation of a GenBank genome assembly.
UAACGGCCAUACCAUGCUGAAUAUACCGGUUCUCGCAGAGCAUCAUUGGGCGCGGUCAGUACUUGGGUGGGUGAUCACCUGGGAACACCGCGUGCCGUU